GAUGAACGCUGGCGGCGUGCCUAAUACAUGCAAGUCGAGCGAACAGACGAGGAGCUUGCUCCUCUGACGUUAGCGGCGGACGGGUGAGUAACACGUGGAUAACCUACCUAUAAGACUGGGAUAACUUCGGGAAACCGGAGCUAAUACAGGAUAAUAUAUUGAACCGCAUGGUUCAAUAGUGAAAGACGGUUUUGCUGUCACUUAUUGAUGGAUCCGCGCCGCAUUAGCUAGUUGGUAAGGUAACGGCUUACCAAGGCAACGAUGCGUAGCCGACCUGAGAGGGUGAUCGGCCAGACUGGAACUGAGACACGGUCCAGACUCCUACGGGAGGCAGCAGUAGGGAAUCUUCCGCAAUGGGCGAAAGCCUGACGGAGCAACGCCGCGUGAGUGAUGAAGGUCUUCGGAUCGUAAAACUCUGUUAUUAGGGAAGAACAAAUGUGUAAGUAACUAUGCACGUCUUGACGGUACCUAAUCAGAAAGCCACGGCUAACUACGUG
Molecule: ribosomal RNA, 497 nt
Filed under: uncultured bacterium
Lineage: Bacteria
Description: partial 16S ribosomal RNA
Rfam family: Bacterial small subunit ribosomal RNA
Source: RNAcentral